This 497-nucleotide ribosomal RNA is filed under the name uncultured bacterium. Its description in RNAcentral is "partial 16S ribosomal RNA". It matches the Rfam family "Bacterial small subunit ribosomal RNA", at positions 28 to 507 of the family's 1533-position model. The record is from RNAcentral.
GAUGAACGCUGGCGGCGUGCCUAAUACAUGCAAGUCGAGCGAACGGACGAGAAGCUUGCUUCUCUGAUGUUAGCGGCGGACGGGUGAGUAACACGUGGAUAACCUACCUAUAAGACUGGGAUAACUUCGGGAAACCGUAGCUAGUACCGGAUAUUAUUUUGAACCGCAUGGUUCAAAAGUGAAAGACGGUCUUGCUGUCACUUAUAGAUGGAUCCGCGCUGCAUUAGCUAGUUGGUAAGGUAACGGCUUACCAAGGCAACGAUGCAUAGCCGACCUGAGAGGGUGAUCGGCCACACUGGAACUGAGACACGGUCCAGACUCCUACGGGAGGCAGCAGUAGGGAAUCUUCCGCAAUGGGCGAAAGCCUGACGGAGCAACGCCGCGUAAGUGAUGAAGGUCUUCGGAUCGUAAAACUCUGUUAUUAGGGAAGAACAUAUGUGUAAGUAACUGUGCACAUCUUGACGGUACCUAAUCAGAAAGCCACGGCUAACUACGUG